This 1521-nucleotide ribosomal RNA is filed under the name Klebsiella pneumoniae. RNAcentral's name for it is "bacterial SSU rRNA". It matches the Rfam family "Bacterial small subunit ribosomal RNA". The record is from RNAcentral. Lineage: Bacteria; Pseudomonadati; Pseudomonadota; Gammaproteobacteria; Enterobacterales; Enterobacteriaceae.
AGAGUUUGAUCAUGGCUCAGAUUGAACGCUGGCGGCAGGCCUAACACAUGCAAGUCGAGCGGUAGCACAGAGAGCUUGCUCUCGGGUGACGAGCGGCGGACGGGUGAGUAAUGUCUGGGAAACUGCCUGAUGGAGGGGGAUAACUACUGGAAACGGUAGCUAAUACCGCAUAACGUCGCAAGACCAAAGUGGGGGACCUUCGGGCCUCAUGCCAUCAGAUGUGCCCAGAUGGGAUUAGCUAGUAGGUGGGGUAACGGCUCACCUAGGCGACGAUCCCUAGCUGGUCUGAGAGGAUGACCAGCCACACUGGAACUGAGACACGGUCCAGACUCCUACGGGAGGCAGCAGUGGGGAAUAUUGCACAAUGGGCGCAAGCCUGAUGCAGCCAUGCCGCGUGUGUGAAGAAGGCCUUCGGGUUGUAAAGCACUUUCAGCGGGGAGGAAGGCGUUAAGGUUAAUAACCUCGAUCGAUUGACGUUACCCGCAGAAGAAGCACCGGCUAACUCCGUGCCAGCAGCCGCGGUAAUACGGAGGGUGCAAGCGUUAAUCGGAAUUACUGGGCGUAAAGCGCACGCAGGCGGUCUGUCAAGUCGGAUGUGAAAUCCCCGGGCUCAACCUGGGAACUGCAUUCGAAACUGGCAGGCUAGAGUCUUGUAGAGGGGGGUAGAAUUCCAGGUGUAGCGGUGAAAUGCGUAGAGAUCUGGAGGAAUACCGGUGGCGAAGGCGGCCCCCUGGACAAAGACUGACGCUCAGGUGCGAAAGCGUGGGGAGCAAACAGGAUUAGAUACCCUGGUAGUCCACGCCGUAAACGAUGUCGAUUUGGAGGUUGUGCCCUUGAGGCGUGGCUUCCGGAGCUAACGCGUUAAAUCGACCGCCUGGGGAGUACGGCCGCAAGGUUAAAACUCAAAUGAAUUGACGGGGGCCCGCACAAGCGGUGGAGCAUGUGGUUUAAUUCGAUGCAACGCGAAGAACCUUACCUGGUCUUGACAUCCACAGAACUUUCCAGAGAUGGAUUGGUGCCUUCGGGAACUGUGAGACAGGUGCUGCAUGGCUGUCGUCAGCUCGUGUUGUGAAAUGUUGGGUUAAGUCCCGCAACGAGCGCAACCCUUAUCCUUUGUUGCCAGCGGUCCGGCCGGGAACUCAAAGGAGACUGCCAGUGAUAAACUGGAGGAAGGUGGGGAUGACGUCAAGUCAUCAUGGCCCUUACGACCAGGGCUACACACGUGCUACAAUGGCAUAUACAAAGAGAAGCGACCUCGCGAGAGCAAGCGGACCUCAUAAAGUAUGUCGUAGUCCGGAUUGGAGUCUGCAACUCGACUCCAUGAAGUCGGAAUCGCUAGUAAUCGUAGAUCAGAAUGCUACGGUGAAUACGUUCCCGGGCCUUGUACACACCGCCCGUCACACCAUGGGAGUGGGUUGCAAAAGAAGUAGGUAGCUUAACCUUCGGGAGGGCGCUUACCACUUUGUGAUUCAUGACUGGGGUGAAGUCGUAACAAGGUAACCGUAGGGGAACCUGCGGUUG